UACGAAGGGGGCUAGCGUUGCUCGGAAUCACUGGGCGUAAAGGGUGCGUAGGCGGGUUUUUAAGUCAGGGGUGAAAUCCUGGAGCUCAACUCCAGAACUGCCUUUGAUACUGAAGAUCUUGAGUCCGGGAGAGGUGAGUGGAACUGCGAGUGUAGAGGUGAAAUUCGUAGAUAUUGGGAAGAACACCGGUGGCGAAGGCGGCUCACUGGCGCGUAGCUGACGCUCAGGCGCGACAGCGUGGGGAUCAAACAGG
Molecule: ribosomal RNA, 253 nt
Filed under: uncultured bacterium
Lineage: Bacteria
Description: partial 16S ribosomal RNA
Rfam family: Bacterial small subunit ribosomal RNA
Source: RNAcentral